This 781-nucleotide ribosomal RNA is filed under the name uncultured marine microorganism. Its description in RNAcentral is "bacterial SSU rRNA". It matches the Rfam family "Bacterial small subunit ribosomal RNA", at positions 8 to 834 of the family's 1533-position model. The record is from RNAcentral.
AGAGUUUGAUCCUGGCUCAGGAUGAACGCUGGCGGUAUGCCUAACACAUGCAAGUCGAACGAUGUCUUCGGACAUAGUGGCGGACGGGUGAGUAACGCGUGAGAAUCUGCCUCUAGGAUGGGGAUAACGGUUGGAAACGACCGCUAACACCCAAUAUGCCGUAAGGUGAAAAAUUUAUUGCCUGGAGAGGAGCUCGCGUCUGAUUAGCUAGUUGGUGGGGUAAGAGCUCACCAAGGCCUCGAUCAGUAGCUGGUCUGAGAGGAUGAGCAGCCACACUGGGACUGAGACACGGCCCAGACUCCUACGGGAGGCAGCAGUGGGGAAUUUUCCGCAAUGGGCGAAAGCCUGACGGAGCAAUACCGUGUGAGGGAGGAAUGCCUUUGGGUUGUAAACCUCUUUUCUCAGGGAAGAAGAUCUGACGGUACCUGAGGAAUAAGUAUCGGCUAACUCCGUGCCAGCAGCCGCGGUAAUACGGAGGAUGCAAGCGUUAUCCGGAAUUAUUGGGCGUAAAGCGUCCGCAGGUGGUUUCCAAAGUCUGCUGUUAAAGACUGGAGCUCAACUCCGGAACGGCGGUGGAAACUUGGAAACUAGAGUUCGGUAGGGGUAGCAGGAAUUCCCAGUGUAGCGGUGAAAUGCGUAGAUAUUGGGAAGAACAUCGGUGGCGAAGGCGUGCUACUGGACCGUAACUGACACUCAGGGACGAAAGCUAGGGGAGCGAAAGGGAUUAGAUACCCCUGUAGUCCUAGCUGUAAACGAUGGAAACUAGGUGUGGCUUGUAUCG